UCAAAGAUUAAGCCAUGCAUGUGUCAGUACAAGCUAAACUAAAGUGAAACCGCGAAAGGCUCAUUAAAUCAGCUAUGAUUCAUUGGAUCUGUACACCCAGUUUUCCUUGGAUAACUGUGGUAAUUCUAGAGCUAAUACAUGCACAUAUAGUCCCUGACCCCGAGAGGGGAAAGGGCGCUUUUAUUAGUAUCUCAAAACCGGUCGUCGGGCUUCGGUCCGUAAACCCCUACUGUGAUGACUCUGGAUAACUUUUAGCUGAGCGCACGGUCUUUUGCACUGGCGCCGCUUCUUUCAAGUGUCUGCCUUAUCAGCUUUCGAUUGUAGGUUAUGUGCCUACAAUGGCUAUAACGGGUAACGGGGAAUCAGGGUUCGAUUCCGGAGAGGGAGCCUGAGAAACGGCUACCACAUCUAAGGAAGGCAGCAGGCACGCAAAUUACCCACUCCCGGCACGGGGAGGUAGUGACGAAAAAUAAUGAUGCGAGACUCAUCCGAGGCCUUGCAAUCAGAAUGAGUACACUUUAAAUCCUUUAACGAGGACCCAUUGGAGGGCAAGUCUGGUGCCAGCAGCCGCGGUAAUUCCAGCUCCAAUAGCAUAUAUUAAAGUUGUUGUGGUUAAAAAGCUCAUAGUUGGAUUACAGUUGUGGACUGAUGGUAUAUACACCUAUCGGUGCUUACUAUCACGCUCCUAAACGCGCUCGCUUUGUCGAGCCUCGCUAGCUCGCACGGGGUGCUCUUGAUCGAGUGUCCCGAGUGGCUGGUAUGUUUACUUUGAAAAAAUUAGAGUGCUCAGAGCAGGCUCCUAUUAUGGCCUGAAUGCUUAUGCAUGGAAUAAUGAAAUAAGACCUCGAUUCCAUUUUGUCUGGUUUUUAUGGAAUUGGAGGUAAUGACUAAUAGAGACAAACGGGGGCAUUUGUAUUGCGACGCUAGAGGUGAAAUUCUUGGACCGUCGCAAGACAAACAACUGCGAAAGCAUUUGCCAAGGAUGUUUUCAUUAAUCAAGAACGAAAGUUAGAGGUUCGAAGGCGAUCAGAUACCGCCCUAGUUCUAACCAUAAACGAUGCUGACCAGCAAUCCGCCGGCGUUAUUCCCAUGACCCGGCGGGCAGCUUCCGGGAAACCAAAGUCUUUGAGUUCCAGGGGAAGUAUGGUUGCAAAGCUGAAACUUAAAGGAAUUGACGGAAGGGCACCACCAGGAGUGGAGCCUGUGGCUUAAUUUGACUCAACACGGGAAACCUCACCAGGCCCAGACACUGGAAGGAUUGACAGAUUGAGAGCUCUUUCUCGAUUCAGUGGGUGGUGGUGCAUGGCCGUUCUUAGUUG
RNAcentral lists this ribosomal RNA (1319 nucleotides) under Iridonida iris. RNAcentral describes it as "SSU rRNA". It matches the Rfam family "Eukaryotic small subunit ribosomal RNA", at positions 37 to 1300 of the family's 1831-position model. Lineage: Eukaryota; Metazoa; Arthropoda; Malacostraca; Decapoda; Munididae. The record is from RNAcentral.